GGCGUGUAAUAUGGGCUCCACCUCAUGAAGCUGAUGUAUGGAACCACUAUCCACAAUGCUGGGAUAUCUGGCACUCCCUGAUUAAGGAAGUGGUGGAGGAGAGCAUUCCCUGCAGGACACAGGAAAGGAAGAGGCCGUCCACAGCCAGGCAACACAGGCAUGAAUACUCCAGUGCCUCAGGCAGUGUGCGGAUCACAGAUGUCCAGCUGCAGGGUCUGUUAAUGAGGCUGGGGAACUCCUCCCAGAGAGAGCAGGACAUUGG
Non-coding RNA from Salmo salar (Atlantic salmon), 262 nucleotides. NCBI's taxonomy places the organism in Eukaryota, Metazoa, Chordata, Actinopteri, Salmoniformes, Salmonidae. The record is from RefSeq and is a predicted model, not a curated record.